GGCCUGUAGCUAAUGAGAUUAUAGGUCUGACCUGCCCGGUGGGGAUUUAAACGGCCGCAGUAUCUUGACUGUGCUAAGGUAGCGUAAUCACUUGCCUCUUAAUUGGUGGCUAGUAUGAAUGGUUGGUCAAGAGUUAUGCUGUCUCUAUUAAAUUAGGUGGAAAUUACUUUUAGGUGCAGAAGCCUGAAUAUUAAAGAAAGACAAGAAGACCCUAGUGUGCUUUAGUUUUUUUCGGCUUGAGUUAAUACGGUUGGGAAAACUUUUGUUGGGGCAACACCGGAAUGAAGGAGCUUCACGGUAUUUACAUUGUAUAUGUUUUAGUGUAAUUGACGAGACGCGAUACGGACGCAGCGCUUGAAAGUAGAUUAGUAACAUUAAAGUGAUAAAAGUAACCAUAGGGGUAACAGACUAAUUUCCCUCGAGAGUACACAUUACAGGGAAGAUUGGCACCUCGAUGUUGGCUUAGGGAAGCAGUUAAGAAGUAGAAGUCUAACUUGCAGGCUUGNUCAGCCUUUAAAUCCC
This 522-nucleotide ribosomal RNA is filed under the name Aspidosiphon laevis. RNAcentral describes it as "partial 16S ribosomal RNA". It matches the Rfam family "Bacterial large subunit ribosomal RNA", at positions 1817 to 2596 of the family's 2925-position model. Lineage: Eukaryota; Metazoa; Annelida; Sipuncula; Aspidosiphonidormes; Aspidosiphonidae. The record is from RNAcentral.